This 1000-nucleotide long non-coding RNA is filed under the name Amborella trichopoda. RNAcentral's name for it is "long non-coding RNA (ATRI_LNC000741)". Lineage: Eukaryota; Viridiplantae; Streptophyta; Magnoliopsida; Amborellales; Amborellaceae. The record is from RNAcentral.
UGCAGCACUCGUGGGUGACUUCACAACCAUUGAAGCUGAAAUGGUGCACUUCCUAGAUCAUCAGCAUUUCAUAGUAGUGCAGAACUUCAAUAUUAAUAGUAACAGUAAGAAAUUCGAAGGUCGAUAUUUACAUCACUAGGUUAUGUAAUUUAAAAGUUGGCAAACUUUAUAUUACAGAACUUUAGUAUCAGUAGUAAUAGCAAUAAUAUGCUGGCAAUUAUAUAAGGAAAACAGAAAAUAAGAAAAUAAGGGAACUGAUUUAGCUGAUUCAUUAUUGCGAGGAGCCAGGUCUGUGUAUGCAUGCAUAGUUCAUUCAUCCCCACAGCGGCUCCUCGACUUUCGUCGCAAAGAGAGAAUGCAAAUGGGGUGAAAGAUAGACUCUAUCUCAUGGGGCUUCAUAAAGAAAAAUCGAGCAACCACUACGUUUUUCCUCUUUCUAGCUCGUGGCUUCCUCGGUGCCGGAGGGCAGCUAAGAGUCGAAGGUAUCUUGUGCUCCUCAGAAGUAGGUGUGGUGCACCCUCCCUCUGUGGCCUCAGCUGAUUGUGAUGUCGCGAUUGGCUUCAAUCUCGACCCCAAUUCCGAUGUUCCCUCGGGUUCAUCAGAGAUAGACGUGGCCAAGGAAGAAGGAUGAGGAUGAAAGAAUUCCGAGGUGCCCUUCAUUUCAUCGGAGAUAGACACAGAUACAGAUAUGGCCAGAUGAAAGAGGAAGUGAGGAAAGCCUGCAGAAGAAGAGGAGGCGUGCAAUGAAAAGAAAGGAGUAGAAAAAAAAGUGUUUGGUUCUAAUUUACUCUUAGGGUUUUUCUUAUUGUAGGGUAGGUGAACUUCCUCUCUUUGUAUCUUUCAUCUUUUAUUCCUACUUUGAGGGAUAGAGAGUGAGAAGGUCAAUAGGACAACCUUAAUAGAGAGAGAACAUGGCCAUAUCUUGAUGGAUUUUCCCUUUGUUUAUAGUGGGUGGGGGAGAGAGUGUGCAUAGGAUGCUUGCCUUGGCUUUCAAUUCUCA